RNAcentral lists this long non-coding RNA (2184 nucleotides) under Mytilus galloprovincialis (Mediterranean mussel). Lineage: Eukaryota; Metazoa; Mollusca; Bivalvia; Mytilida; Mytilidae. The record is from RNAcentral.
AAAAAAGUCGUCUUGUAUCCGUAAUUAAGACAUACACAUAAGAAGGUGAGAUUUGUUAGAUUGUUAUUUCAUAACGAUGAUCAUGUACAGUUUUCAUAAAUAAAAAAAAAGCGAUUUCAAAAACCAUAUAAUUUUAAGUUGAAGUUCAAAAUUUCAUUGUUAAAAAUCAAAAUUAUCAACCCCGCCUUUUAAUCUACAUCAUUAUUUAAUUAAUAUAUGAUUCGUAUCCUGGUUUAUAUCUUCCAGAUUACAAGAUGAAAACUGUGUUUAUUGCCAUCUGUAUUUUCUGUAUGACAUUGGUAACAUUAGUGUAUGGAUCAACGAUUCCAACCCCCACCGAAUUCACUGGCAAUAGUGGUAAAUCAAUAUAUAUCUAGCUAGUGCCGAAAUAUUUUGGGGAUUUUAUUGUUAUAUUUUUAGCUCCUUUUUUUCUUGGUGCGUUAUUUUAUUUUAUAAUAGCGGUAAAUUAAUGUAUAUUAAAUUUAUCUUAGGGGAGUUAACCUUUUAGGUUUUUUUCUUUGUCAGACUUUGUUUCAAAUUUGAAAUAUGUAUGCUUUCCUCUAAGUAAGAGUGUAAAAACUAAUCGUAACAACAUUUCCGCCUAUAGAGUAAUUAUGAAGAAAAUUGGAGAAAGCCAACUGAAUUUUAUUAGAAAAUCCAAGGAAAUAAAAGUUAACAUGUUAAUUUGAAUUUAAAAUAAUUGACAACCUCCGGCAAAGCCCCAUGAGAUGAGACGUGUUAUAAUCAGUAUAGAUAAGUUUGUAUGUCAUCAACCCAGUAAAUACAAAAAAAGGUUUUUGCUAAAAGAGAGACAAAAGAUACCAACGGGAGAUUCAAACUCAUAAGCCAAAACAAAAACCUGACAACGCCAUGGCUAAAAAAAAAAAGAAAGGACUAACAGUCAAACAACAGUGCCACAAUAUUGCUAAAUUUAAUAGACGUGUGCCAAGUAAUUCGAGUAGCUCACAUGACCCUUUAUGCGUGGUGAGCUAAAAAGGGGACACACUAUUCCUUGUCUUGCUUAUUUUGUUUUUCAACAUAAAAACUGCCAAAAAAAACACUAUAAAAAUAUAGGAUUAAGCCCGACAAUUUAAAAAGAGAGGCGAAAGAUAGCAGUGGGACAUUGAAACACAUAUUCAACAACACGGGAAUCGAAAAUUGACAACAAAGUGAAAUAUUAAUAAGGAGAUUUACAAAUUACGAUCAAAAUAAAAUUUAAGGCCAUAUUACUGUGUAAAACUUGCAAAAUGAGCUAUAAGAAUAAUGAUAUAAAAUAACAACCUGUAACCUCAAAAUAUUUCAUACAUUUAAGCAAUACCCUAAAAACUCAUAAUGUCAUUACCAAAACUGGAAACAUUUAGAAACAGUAUUAUUUCGAAGUCCAUGGAAAUGAAAUUGAUGACUUUAAACUAUAACUAUCAAUGAAUACAAUGCUGAGUUUUACUUAGAGACUCGAAAACACAACCAGUAGAGUAACUUGCUUUGUAAUUUUUACAAUAAAAUUAUAAUAAUUGAAUACAAUUUUUAAUAGACCUUGUAUGCCAUUUUUUUUAGUACAAGACAAUUCUAGUGGUCAGCAUUUCCAUGUUGACAUGAACUGUUAUUGAUUUGGGCAUUAUUAUAAAUUAACUUAUAACACACCUUUGCAUUAUCGAACAAUUAAUGAUUUUCCAUCCAAGGAAUAGAUAACCGAAUCUGUAUUUGGAAUACCUUGCGGAUUUCAAGGUCCUAACUGCCUUCAAAGUCGUUCUUUAUUAAGUCUUUGUAACUUUUUUUUAUUCGAGUGACACUGUUUAGUCUGAUGCAGACGAAACGAGAGUUAAAAUCCGAGUAUGCAUCUAUGAAGAAUUUAUUGGUCUCGCUGUGUAGAAAAAAACAUUAUUUUCUUGUGGUUUUCUUUACAGACUGCUUGCUCCAUACCAUACCAGGGGAUUGUUUGGGUUUCUUUCCACGAUAUUCGUACCGAUCGGGAAUGUGUAAAAUGUUCAUUUAUGGCGGUUGUGGUGGGAAUGCCAACAAUUUCUUAGACAUUGAGGAGUGCCAAAAAGCAUGUAUGCCAGCCUUAUAACGAUUCAAAUUAGCAUGGAAAAUCGAGCACGGUGAUAUAGGAAUAUUGAAGUAACAAAUAAAAUAUGAAUACCCCGAUUUUCUUUUAAUUAAGGAUACUUUUAAUUGUUUUAGUCU